RNAcentral lists this ribosomal RNA (303 nucleotides) under uncultured bacterium. RNAcentral describes it as "partial 16S ribosomal RNA". It matches the Rfam family "Bacterial small subunit ribosomal RNA", at positions 507 to 807 of the family's 1533-position model. The record is from RNAcentral.
AGCAGUAGCCACGGGAAUACGAAGGGGGCUAGCGUUGUUCGGAUUAACUGGGCGUAAAGGGCGCGUAGGCGGGUUUUUAAGUCAGAGGUGAAAUCCCAAGGCUCAACCUUGGAACUGCCUUUGAUACUGGAAGUCUUGAGUCCGGGAGAGGUGAGUGGAACUGCGAGUGUAGAGGUGAAAUUCGUAGAUAUUCGGAAGAACACCAGUGGCGAAGGCGGCUACCUGGAUUGACACUGACACUGAGGCGCGAAAGCGUGGGGAGCAAACAGGAUUAGAUACCCGUGUAGUCCCUGUCUCUUAUAC